Molecule: non-coding RNA, 178 nt
Filed under: marine eukaryotic metagenome
Source: RNAcentral
GAUUGUCUUUGGUUUUUUUCAAUCAUUGAGAGAAUUAAAAGGGAAUUUGGUGCAAUUCCAGAACUGUUCCCGCAACUGUAAGCCGUCCUUGUAAAAGGGCCGUCACAUACUUCAACCACUGUGCUUGUCAUGGGAAGGGUGGCGUAACGGGUAAGUCAGGAGACCUGCCAAAGAAUAA